This 546-nucleotide ribosomal RNA is filed under the name uncultured bacterium. Its description in RNAcentral is "bacterial SSU rRNA". It matches the Rfam family "Bacterial small subunit ribosomal RNA", at positions 319 to 879 of the family's 1533-position model. The record is from RNAcentral.
CUGAGACACGGCCCAGACUCCUACGGGAGGCAGCAGUAGGGAAUCUUGCGCAAUGGGCGAAAGCCUGACGCAGCAACGCCGCGUGGGGGAUGAAGGCCUUCGGGUUGUAAACUCCUUUCAGUGGGAACGAAAUUGACGGUACCCACAGAAGAAGCCCCGGCUAACUACGUGCCAGCAGCCGCGGUGAUACGUAGGGGGCGAGCGUUGUCCGGAUUUACUGGGCCUAAAGAGCUCGUAGGCGGCUUGAUAAGUCGGGUGUGAAACCUCCAGGCUUAACCUGGAAUCGCCACUUGAUACUGUCAUGGCUGGAGUCCGGUAGGGGACCAUGGAAUUCCUGGUGUAGCGGUGAAAUGCGCAGAUAUCAGGAGGAACACCAGUAGCGAGGGCGGUGGUCUGGGCCGGUACUGACGCUGAGGAGCGAAAGCGUGGGGAGCGAACAGGAUUAGAUACCCUGGUAGUCCACGCCGUAAACGUUGGGCACUAGGUGUGGGGCUCUAUCGACGGGUUCCGUGCCGCAGCUAACGCAUUAAGUGCCCCGCCUGGGGA